This is a long non-coding RNA of Cavia porcellus (domestic guinea pig), 3643 nucleotides long. RefSeq lists it as uncharacterized. NCBI's taxonomy places the organism in Eukaryota, Metazoa, Chordata, Mammalia, Rodentia, Caviidae. The transcript has 4 exons. The record is from RefSeq and is a predicted model, not a curated record.
GCUCGUGGGGUUGCCAGGGGCACGGUGCAGCCAGGACCUACUAGUGUGACAGCUCAGCGGGCAGCCUGGAACAGCCUUGGAAGAGCCUGGCGCGGUGGGAGGGGGGGCUCCUGGAAUCCCAGCACUCAGGAGGUGGAAGCUGAGGCAGGAGGAUCUUUGCCAGUUUAGGCCAGCCUGGGCUAAAAAGUGAUAAAGUGCUACCGCUGCUGCCUUUGCAGUGUCCAAAGAGGUGAGCCCGAGUCGGAUCUCAAGAAGACAGCCACAGACCUCGGGGUCCGGCUGCUCUGCGGAAUAGCCAUCCAGAGUCUUCAGAGAUCGAAGUUCGCAGUUUACUGCUACAUGAAAAACCAGACUGGCCAGCUUCGGAGCGGGUCCGCAGUGAGUCACCAGCUUCCUCCGGUGUGGAGGGGGACCGUGACCCCAUUAUAAGGCCGGGGCCAAGAGACCUUCUUGUGACGCUGUGAUGACUAUGGCCCACACACGGCUGCUUCACACCAGUGCUGCCCUUGUGAGUGAGAGUGCAUGUGAGAUCUGAUCGCACCUCCUCACACAUCUGGAAGAUGGGAACCAUCGCGCCUUGUUCACGGCUGAGGAAGUGGAGAUGCAGAGGCUGGGCCACUCAGUAGAGCGCGGUCAAGCUGGGACUCAACCCUGCACGGAGGAGGGACUGGAGAGGACACAGGUUACUGGUAAAGUGCGGUGAUGUACGUCAGUCACCCGAGCCCCUGGGAAGCUGAGGCAAGAGGAUGGCAGCUUGGAGCCUAGCCUGAGUGACUCAGCAACUGAGGGAGACCCUGUCUCAAAAACUGGAAUGUUGUGGUGACGCACGCAUGGCACCCAGCACUUGGGAGGCUGAGGCAGGAGGAUCGCUGAGUUCAAGGCCAGCCUAAGUUACAUUGUAUGACCUUGUAUCAAAAAAUUGAAAUAAAAAAAGGCAGAAAUGAAAGAAUGACCUGAACAUUUCAGCAGCUAGGUGCUGGCCUGUCAGAGUAGGGUCCUCGCAGGGGCGCUGCCCCUGGACUUCCGGAAGUUCUUGGCUCCAUUUCUUCUGAAACUGUGCAGCAUGGCUGGUACUGAGUUCAGGCGUGGGCUGGUGCUUAGGGAGGAGGCUGGGUGCCCCAUGCUUAGCCUUCAAAUCAGGAAAAUCCUCAGCCUGACAGUGGAUGUUCUGAGCCCAUGUAAUCAGUUACCUUGUAAUAAAACCAGUUCCUCCAAAAAAAAAAAAAAAAAGAGUAAACACUUCCCAGCGGCACAUCCAGCAGGGCAGGAAACGUCUCCCCAGGGUGGGGCGGCCCUGGCCCUGCUCCUGAAGCCUCGCUCUGGUUCCGGGCUGCCUGGCACUGGGCCUGCACGGCCGGCACACUGCACACCGCACCCUCCGGGGCUAGGGCCUGGCCUCAGCAUCAGCCCCACUGCGGCCCUAACUGUCCAGCGGGGUUGGACCCACUGUGCUCAGGCACCCAAGGCUGGCUGGGCUGCCCUCCUCCCCCUGCUGGCCCCAGACUGUGUGUCUGGCCUUCCUGCCUGCUCCCCGCUGCCUGCCUCUGGAGGGGAGCCCCCAUCCCCACCCCAGCCCAGUUCCCCAAACAGAUGCGCAGGACUGCUCCCCGAGGUUGGCAUCAGUCUUUAAUGCUGGCAGGCUGCACAGUGACAAGUCACACAUUUGGUCUGGUUGGCAGGAGUCAUACAAUGUACUAGACUGGCCUCCAGGGAGUGUCACCCAGCCUUCCCUGGCCCCAAGGUCCCCUCAUGGGCGUGGGCAGGGCGGGACAAGAGGCGUUGGACCGACUGUACAUGGAGACCGCACACGGAAUUACAAAACUGUAUUUACAGCUGAUCCGAGGUGCUCCUGUAAUCAGGAGCGAAAACCCUUUUAUCAAAAGGGAGUAAGUAUACCUAGGGCUGUGCAAAAUCCAAAAGGAUCAGAUCCCUUUGAGAGUCCAGAGUCCGUUCAGCAAAACGUGACUGGGGCGGCUGCUGGGCCCCAGGGACCCCGAGGAACUCCUUCCUCCCGGAGCAGCCAAGCUCCGUGGGGACAGUGGGAGUGGGCUGCACUGCAGACCCCAGACCCCACCGGGGGCCCCCAGGCCGGCGCCUUCAGUCCUGCCCUGAGGAGGUAUUGCUUGUGGUGCCGGCUGGGGCUCUCCCGGGGGGAGACACGGGAUCAGAUGCGACCUCGUCUUGAGGCAGUGACUGGAGUGUAUGGCCCAGCCCGGGCGGGCAGACCUGAUGCUGUUCCUGCUGUUCCCGGCACUCACCACUCUGUCGCUCGAAAAACCACUGAAGCACAACUUUGAAAGAUUGCAAUAUAUUCUCCGCCCAGCCCAGGUGCCGGCCGCCCUCCCGGACCCCCACGCCGAGGUGCUUCGCACAGGUCCCGGCAGCCCGCGCCACCGCUAUAUCGGGAGAACCUGCUCGAGGACGGUCCGAGAUGUCUGUGGGAGCCGCUCGGGAAAGGUCACUUCGAACUCGAUGAUGAGGUCCCCACGCUUCUCGGGCGUCUUUGGGAGGGGAAGGCCCUCGCCUGGGACUUUCCGCCUCAUGCCGGGCCUGAUGACGUCUUUGAACACCACGGGGAUGGUCCUGCCGUCCAGGGUGGGGACGUUUACUGUGCAGCCACACAGGGCCUUGGGAAGCAAAGUGACAAUGUGAGGGGAGACACCUGGGCCAUCUUGUGCCCAGACCUCUACAUCUACAACUACCCGUGUGGCUGGGUGUGGUGGGGCACAGCUGCCAUCCAGCACUCAGGAGGCUGAGGCAGGAGGGUGGAGAGGCAAGUUUGAGACCAGCCUGGGCUACAAAGCGAGCUCAAGGCCAGGCUGAACUGCACAGCAAGACCCUGUCUCAAAAAGAUAAAUGAAACAAAAUAAAAAUAAUAAGGGCCUCGGAUUUUAGCUCACUGGCACAAGCAUCUGCCCGGCCAGCUCAAGGAUGUGAAUUUGAUCCCAGAACCAAAAAUAAAAAAAAUUUAAAAAAUAAAAUAACCGAGCCCCCCCCACCCUUGCAGUGCCCACUCAGGAAGCGUCACCCAAGCAAAGCCAGGGCGCCUGGCCCAAGCCGCUCACCUCCCGCAGGCUGAUCCGGGCGGGGUAGACCACGUCGGAGCCGUCCCGCUUGAAGAUGCUGUGCGGCUUGUCCUUUAGCACGAAGACGAUGUCUGCGGGGAUGUUGUUGGAGGUCUGGUCCCCCUCCUUGGGGAAGGUGAUCUUGGUCCCCUCUUUCCACCCCUUCUUCACCUCGAUGGUCAGGAUCUUGUCCUCGCUGCGCGUGCUCUUGCCGUCGGGGUUGAGCCGCUUGUGCGAGAUCUUCAUCUUCUUGGUGCAGCCGUUGUAGAUCUCCUCCAGCGAGACUCGCAGGUCGUGGGUGACAGGCGGGUCCUGUUUCUUGCGCGCGGGCUCCUGCGCGGACCGAGAGCGGCCAAAGUUCAUGCUGGGAAAGCCGCCCAUGCCCAUGGGGAAGCUGGAGAACGGGUCGUCGAUGUCCAUGCCCUCCUCGCCGUUCCGCUGCCCGAAGAAGGUGUCGAAGGGGUUUCUCCCGCCAAAGAAUUCCGCGAACAUCGCGUGCGGGUCCCCGUGGAACGUGUAGCUGAAGGAGGUCCCGUUGGUGCCACCGCCACCGCCGCUGGGGCCGCCACCUUUGAGGC